RNAcentral lists this non-coding RNA (21 nucleotides) under Caenorhabditis elegans. The record is from RNAcentral. Lineage: Eukaryota; Metazoa; Nematoda; Chromadorea; Rhabditida; Rhabditidae.
UUCGUGCAAUUCGAACAAAUC